UACGGGAGGCAGCAGUGGGGAAUAUUGGACAAUGGGGGCAACCCUGAUCCAGCCAUGCCGCGUGUGUGAAGAAGGCCCUCGGGUUGUAAAGCACUUUCAGCGAGGAAGAACGCCUAGCGGUUAAUACCCGCUAGGAAAGACAUCACUCGCAGAAGAAGCACCGGCUAACUCCGUGCCAGCAGCCGCGGUAAUACGGAGGGUGCAAGCGUUAAUCGGAAUUACUGGGCGUAAAGCGCGCGUAGGUGGCUUGAUAAGCCGGUUGUGAAAGCCCCGGGCUCAACCUGGGAACGGCAUCCGGAACUGUCAGGCUAGAGUGCAGGAGAGGAAGGUAGAAUUCCCGGUGUAGCGGUGAAAUGCGUAGAGAUCGGGAGGAAUACCAGUGGCGAAGGCGGCCUUCUGGACUGACACUGACACUGAGGUGCGAAAGGCGUGGGUAGCAAAACAGGAUUAGAUACCCUGGUAGUCCACGCCGUAAAACGAUGUCGACCAGCCGUUGGGUGCCUAGCGCACUUUGUGGCGAAGUUAACGCGAUAAGUCGACCGCCUGGGGAGUACGGCCGCAAGGUUAAAACUCAAAUGAAUUG
Molecule: ribosomal RNA, 583 nt
Filed under: uncultured bacterium
Lineage: Bacteria
Description: bacterial SSU rRNA
Rfam family: Bacterial small subunit ribosomal RNA
Source: RNAcentral